AUGGACAAGUACACCGGCAUCCCCGGCUCCGACGUCCUGCGCAGCCGCGCCGACGGCCAGCUCGUGGCCGUCACGUACAUCCCUCGAGGGGAGCAGGUGGACGAGGCCGUGCGGCGGGAGAUCAUCAGGCACCGGUCGCUGCGCCACCCCAGCGUCGUCCGCCUCAGGGAGCUCGUUCUCACCCCGACGCACCUCGCCGUCGUCUCGGAGCACGCCCCGGACCUCCACCGGCGGGUCCGCGACGCCGGCCGGUUCAGCGAGGACGAGGCGCGUGUGCUGUUCCGGCAACUGGUAUCAGGAGUCAGCUACUGCCACUCCAUGCAGGUAUGCCAUCGUGACCUGAAGCUGGAGAACAUCCUGCUGGAUGGGAGCUGCGCGGGGCCUCCUCGGCUCAAGAUAUGCGGCCCCGGCGUUUCAAAGCGUCAGUCGCAGCCGGGAGCGCCAAGAGCGUCUGACCAAACACGGGUGUACAUCGCUCCUGAGGUUUUUCAGCAAAGGGAAUAUGAUGGCAAGAUCGUCGAUGUGUGGUCCUGUGGAGUGACGCUCUACGCCAUGCUGGUCGGCGCUUACCCCUUCCAGUGUCCUGACGACGAGCCAAUAAAUUUUAGGAAGAUAAUUCAGAGGAUACAGAGCGUUGAAUACUCAGUUCCAGAUGACCUGCACAUAUCUGCCGAGUGGCGUGACCUCAUUUCCAAGAUCUUUGUUGCUGACCCAGCUGCUAGAAUCACGGUGCCUGAGAUAAGAAACCAUCCAUGGUUCUUCAAGAAUUUCCCGGCUGAUGAUAGCACAAUGAGCACCGAGGAGGCAGAGCAGCCGACGCAGAGCAUGGAUGAGAUGAUGCAGAUCCUAGCACUGGCAGAGGCACCAUAUCUACUGCCGAUGACAUAG
Molecule: ribosomal RNA, 888 nt
Filed under: Triticum aestivum (bread wheat)
Lineage: Eukaryota; Viridiplantae; Streptophyta; Magnoliopsida; Poales; Poaceae
Description: partial small subunit ribosomal RNA
Source: RNAcentral